GACAGAGGGUGCAAACGUUGUUCGGAAUUACUGGGCGUAAAGCGUGUGUAGGCGGCUAGGUAAGUCGGAUGUGAAAGCCCCGGGCUCAACUCGGGAAGUGCACUCGAUACUGCUUAGCUCGAGUACCGGAGAGGUUGGUGGAAUUCUCGGUGUAGAGGUGAAAUUCGUAGAUAUUGGGAAGAACACCAGUGGCGUAGGCGGCGACCUGGUCCUUUACUGACGCUGAGGCGCGAAAGCGUGGGGAGCAAACAGG
Molecule: ribosomal RNA, 253 nt
Filed under: uncultured bacterium
Lineage: Bacteria
Description: partial 16S ribosomal RNA
Rfam family: Bacterial small subunit ribosomal RNA
Source: RNAcentral